RNAcentral lists this long non-coding RNA (236 nucleotides) under Elaeis guineensis (African oil palm). RNAcentral describes it as "long non-coding RNA (EGUI_LNC020202)". The record is from RNAcentral. Lineage: Eukaryota; Viridiplantae; Streptophyta; Magnoliopsida; Arecales; Arecaceae.
GCUAGGGACUAAGAGAACAUGUAGUCAAACCCAAUAGCCUCACUGUGAAUAGCCAAUGGCACCGCAGGUCAAAAGACUACUCAUACCACUGCAGCAUUGAGAACAUCACUGAUAAUUGAGUAAACAUUCAUGUGGUUCUCGUGUUGGUUACACUCAGUGUAAGUUAUUCUCUAACGACCAUCUCCACCUUCACCCUAGUAUCUCUACACUACAGAUCCGAGACUCAUCUGCCCAUA